GACGAACGCUGGCGGCGUGCUUAACACAUGCAAGUCGAACGGUAAGGCCCUUCGGGGUACACGAGUGGCGAACGGGUGAGUAACACGUGGGUGAUCUGCCCUGCACUUCGGGAUAAGCCUGGGAAACUGGGUCUAAUACCGGAUAGGACCACUGCCUGCAUGGGUGGUGGUGGAAAGCUUUUGGGGUGUGGGAGGGGCCCGCGGCCUAUCAGCUUGUUGGUGGGGUGAUGGCCUACCAAGGCGACGACGGGUAGCCGGCCUGAGAGGGUGACCGGCCACACUGGGACUGAGAUACGGCCCAGACUCCUACGGGAGGCAGCAGUGGGGAAUAUUGCACAAUGGGCGCAAGCCUGAUGCAGCGACGCCGCGUGAGGGAUGACGGCCUUCGGGUUGUAAACCUCUUUCAGCACCGACGAAGCGCAAGUGACGGUAGGUGCAGAAGAAGGACCGGCCAACUACGUGCCAGCAGCCGCCGCCG
RNAcentral lists this ribosomal RNA (478 nucleotides) under uncultured bacterium. Its description in RNAcentral is "partial 16S ribosomal RNA". It matches the Rfam family "Bacterial small subunit ribosomal RNA", at positions 28 to 523 of the family's 1533-position model. The record is from RNAcentral.